Molecule: non-coding RNA, 30 nt
Filed under: Rattus norvegicus (Norway rat)
Lineage: Eukaryota; Metazoa; Chordata; Mammalia; Rodentia; Muridae
Source: RNAcentral
UCGAAUCUUUUGUUGACUUGAGCUAUUGAA